UAAAGAAUCCUCGGGUCCGGAUGGGCAUGCGUGGCAUUAGCUUGUUGGCGGGGUAACGGCCCACCAAGGCGACGAUGCCUAGGGGUUCUGAGAGGAAGGUCCCCCACACUGGUACUGAGACACGGACCAGACUCCUACGGGAGGCAGCAGUGAGGAAUAUUGGUCAAUGGGCGAGAGCCUGAACCAGCCAAGUCGCGUGAGGGACGACGGCCCUACGGGUUGUAAACCUCUUUUGCCGGGGGACAAACGGCGGCACGCGUGCCGUCCUGAGGGUACCCGGAGAAAAAGCAUCGGCUAACUCCGUGCCAGCAGCCGCGGUAAUACGGAGGAUGCGAGCGUUAUCCGGAUUUAUUGGGUUUAAAGGGUGCGUAGGCGGGAUGCCAAGUCAGCGGUCAAAUACGGGGGCUCAACCUGCGUCCGCCGUUGAAACUGGCGUUCUUGAGUGGGCGAGAAGUACGCGGAAUGCGUGGUGUAGCGGUGAAAUGCAUAGAUAUCACGCAGAACCCCGAUUGCGAAGGCAGCGUACCGGCGCCCAACUGACGCUGAAGCACGAAAGCGUGGGUAUCGAACAGGAUUAGAUACCCUGGUAGUCCACGCAGUAAACGAUGAACACUAAUUGUCCGGCGGGGUUUGCCGCUGG
RNAcentral lists this ribosomal RNA (640 nucleotides) under uncultured bacterium. RNAcentral describes it as "bacterial SSU rRNA". It matches the Rfam family "Bacterial small subunit ribosomal RNA", at positions 202 to 842 of the family's 1533-position model. The record is from RNAcentral.